CCUACGGGUGGCAGCAGUGGGGAAUAUUGGACAAUGGGCGAAAGCCUGAUCCAGCCAUGCCGCGUGUGUGAAGAAGGCCUUCGGGUUGUAAAGCACUUUCAGUGGGGAAGAAAGCCUUGGGGCUAAUACCCUCGAGGAAGGACAUCACCCACAGAAGAAGCACCGGCUAACUCCGUGCCAGCAGCCGCGGUAAUACGGAGGGUGCGAGCGUUAAUCGGAAUUACUGGGCGUAAAGCGCGCGUAGGCGGUCUGAUAAGCCGGUUGUGAAAGCCCCGGGCUCAACCUGGGAACGGCAGCCGGAACUGUCAGGCUAGAGUGCAGGAGAGGAAGGUAGAAUUCCCGGUGUAGCGGUGAAAUGCGUAGAGAUCGGGAGGAAUACCAGUGGCGAAGGCGGCCUUCUGGACUGACACUGACGCUGAGGUGCGAAAGCGUGGGUAGCAAACAGGAUUAGAUACCCGAGUAGUC
This 465-nucleotide ribosomal RNA is filed under the name Vreelandella stevensii. RNAcentral's name for it is "partial 16S ribosomal RNA". It matches the Rfam family "Bacterial small subunit ribosomal RNA", at positions 338 to 795 of the family's 1533-position model. The record is from RNAcentral. Lineage: Bacteria; Pseudomonadati; Pseudomonadota; Gammaproteobacteria; Oceanospirillales; Halomonadaceae.